CCUAGGGGGGGCUGCAGUGGGGAAUAUUGGACAAUGGGCGAAAGCCUGAUCCAGCCAUGCCGCGUGUGUGAAGAAGGCCUUCGGGUUGUAAAGCACUUUCAGUGGGGAAGAAAGCCUUGGGGCUAAUACCCUCGAGGAAGGACAUCACCCACAGAAGAAGCACCGGCUAACUCCGUGCCAGCAGCCGCGGUAAUACGGAGGGUGCGAGCGUUAAUCGGAAUUACUGGGCGUAAAGCGCGCGUAGGCGGUCUGAUAAGCCGGUUGUGAAAGCCCCGGGCUCAACCUGGGAACGGCAUCCGGAACUGUCAGGCUAGAGUGCAGGAGAGGAAGGUAGAAUUCCCGGUGUAGCGGUGAAAUGCGUAGAGAUCGGGAGGAAUACCAGUGGCGAAGGCGGCCUUCUGGACUGACACUGACGCUGAGGUGCGAAAGCGUGGGUAGCAAACAGGAUUAGAUACCCUUGUAGUC
Molecule: ribosomal RNA, 465 nt
Filed under: Vreelandella stevensii
Lineage: Bacteria; Pseudomonadati; Pseudomonadota; Gammaproteobacteria; Oceanospirillales; Halomonadaceae
Description: partial 16S ribosomal RNA
Rfam family: Bacterial small subunit ribosomal RNA
Source: RNAcentral